Molecule: ribosomal RNA, 603 nt
Filed under: uncultured fungus
Lineage: Eukaryota; Fungi
Description: eukaryotic LSU rRNA
Rfam family: Eukaryotic large subunit ribosomal RNA
Source: RNAcentral
ACCCGCUGAACUUAAGCAUAUCAAUAAGCGGAGGAAAAGAAACCAACAGGGAUUGCCCUAGUAACGGCGAGUGAAGCGGCAACAGCUCAAAUUUGAAAUCUGGCUCUUUUAGAGUCCGAGUUGUAAUUUGCAGAGGGCGCUUUGGCUUCGGCAGCGGUCCAAGUUCCUUGGAACAGGACGUCACAGAGGGUGAGAAUCCCGUACGUGGUCGCUGGCUAUUGCCGUGUAAAGCCCCUUCGACGAGUCGAGUUGUUUGGGAAUGCAGCUCUAAAUGGGAGGUACAUUUCUUCUAAAGCUAAAUAUUGGCCAGAGACCGAUAGCGCACAAGUAGAGUGAUCGAAAGAUGAAAAGCACUUUGGAAAGAGAAUCAAACAGCACGUGAAAUUGUUGAAAGGGAAGCGCUUGCAGCCAGACUUGCUUACAGUUGCUCAUCCGGGCUUUUGCCCGGUGCACUCUUCUGUAGGCAGGCCAGCAUCAGUUUGGGCGGUAGGAUAAAGGUCUCUGUCACGUACCUCUCUUCGGGGAGGCCUUAUAGGGGAGACGACAUACUACCAGCCUGGACUGAGGUCCGCGCAUCUGCUAGGAUGCUGGCGUAAUGGCUGU